Molecule: ribosomal RNA, 206 nt
Filed under: uncultured bacterium
Lineage: Bacteria
Description: partial 16S ribosomal RNA
Rfam family: Bacterial small subunit ribosomal RNA
Source: RNAcentral
UGCGUAGGUGGCGGGGUAAGUCGGAUGUGAAAGCUCGGAGCUCAACUCCGAAAUGGCAUUGGAAACUACCUUGCUCGAGGGUUGGAGGGGGGACUGGAAUGCUUGGUGUAGCAGUGAAAUGCGUAGAUAUCAAGCGGAACACCAGUGGCGAAGGCGAGUCCCUGGACAACUCCUGACACUGAGGCACGAAAGCUAGGGAGCAAACA